RNAcentral lists this ribosomal RNA (259 nucleotides) under uncultured prokaryote. RNAcentral describes it as "partial 16S ribosomal RNA". It matches the Rfam family "Bacterial small subunit ribosomal RNA", at positions 524 to 782 of the family's 1533-position model. The record is from RNAcentral.
UACGUAGGGUGCUAGCGUUAUCCGGAUUUAUUGGGUUUAAAGGGUGCGCAGGUUGUUUGAUAAGUCAGUGGUGAAAGUCUGUCGCUUAACGGUAGGAUUGCCAUUGAUACUGUUGGACUUGAAUAUGGAUGAGGUAGGCGGAAUGUGUAGUGUAGCGGUGAAAUGCAUAGAUAUUACACAGAACACCGAUUGCGAAGGCAGCUUACUAACCCAUCAUUGACGCUGAGGCACGAAAGCGUGGGGAUCAAACAGGAUUAGA